RNAcentral lists this transfer RNA (76 nucleotides) under Candidatus Saccharimonadota bacterium. RNAcentral describes it as "tRNA-Ile". It matches the Rfam family "tRNA". Rfam says of the family: Transfer RNA (tRNA) molecules are approximately 80 nucleotides in length. Their secondary structure includes four short double-helical elements and three loops (D, anti-codon, and T loops). The record is from RNAcentral. Lineage: Bacteria; Candidatus Saccharimonadota. RNAcentral also lists the same sequence under 1 other name.
GGGGGUGUAGCUCAGGGGUUAGAGCACUCGGCUCAUAACCGAUUGGUCGCUGGUUCAAUUCCAGCCACCCCCACCA